Apus apus (common swift) is the source of this 1125-nucleotide long non-coding RNA. RefSeq lists it as uncharacterized. The record is from RefSeq and is a predicted model, not a curated record. The transcript has 2 exons. Lineage: Eukaryota; Metazoa; Chordata; Aves; Apodiformes; Apodidae.
AUUAUUAUUUAUUGUUAUCAAGGGAUUUGGUUUGAUCAAUGAAGUGUAUAUGCGUCUGACGGACAUUGGGAGAGGAAAUGCUUGGAGAAUGAGUAACAUGUCUGCAGCGGAGGGUGUGUGUGAGGGAGAGAAGAGGGAGCAUCGGUACUAGAAACACUGACUGAUGAGUUCAUUUUAAAAUCCAAGGGCAUCUAGCUGCCAGAGGGAUGCUAGGGCGAGGAGCUGCAGUCCCACCACUUCCCACCACCCCCUUUCCCAAUCCACCCCCCCACCCCCCCCCCCUUUCCCAAUCCACCCCAUUCCCUUCCCCUUCUCUCUCUUCCCAACCCUUUUUCCGUGGGGCGGGAGCGGCUCCCCCGGAGGCUCCCGGGGCUGGUGCCCGGGGACCGAGGAUGCGACGACGGGUCCUCCCGGGAGCUUAAGAGAUUAUUGGGGAGGGGUGAGUGGGGCUGGUGUGUGUGUGUGUGUGUGUCUGUAUCCGUGUGUGUGUGUCUUGUCUGUGUGUGUCUUGUCUGUGUGCGUGUGUGCGAGGCUGGCGGCGGGGGGAGCCGCGUCCUUAUUCUGUUAAAGAUUUAAGUAGGCAUGCAAGGAAUCUCUAGGAUAGUUGGCAAAGGGCGAGGGUGGGGAAAGGGGGGGGGGGGGGAAGGAUCCAAAAGAGUCUGUAACCAGACACUGAAGCUUUCCAGGAGUGAGAGUGUGUGAGAGAGACGGAGACAGAGCGAGAGGAAGAGAGGGGGCAGUGUGGUCUAGUACAUUUUCAUCUGGUCGUUGAUUUGAGCCUGAUGCUUGCUGUCCCUCAACAGCCUCCCUUGCCUGGAUUUUUUCUUCCCCCCCCCUCUCCUCCUCUCCUCUCCCUUCUACUUCAUCGAAGCCUAGGGGAGCCAGUAAAGAUUAAAUGUGCUUUCUAAAAGGCAGCCACUUCAUGCAGCUAUGUCUACUCCCCCCCCCCCCCACCUCCCCAGCUACCCCCCUUCCCCCUUUUUGAAAUUAAAAAAAAAAAAAAUAGGAAAAGGAGAGAGGGGGAGACAGAGAGGGGGAAGAAGGAAGGAGGAGGAAGAGGAGGACUAUAGUUUAAUGAUGCCGGGACUGGCUGAUCCAGAAGGAGGGAAAAAAAAAAAAAAACAA